RNAcentral lists this non-coding RNA (24 nucleotides) under Cricetulus griseus (Chinese hamster). The record is from RNAcentral. Lineage: Eukaryota; Metazoa; Chordata; Mammalia; Rodentia; Cricetidae.
UAGAGAUCUGGUACGGGUGUGUGA